Molecule: long non-coding RNA, 1492 nt
Organism: Cygnus atratus (black swan)
Lineage: Eukaryota; Metazoa; Chordata; Aves; Anseriformes; Anatidae
Exons: 4
Source: RefSeq, a predicted model, not a curated record
AGCCUCAAAAUAUCUUUCCACAAAAGAUGAAUUUGACAAAAUUGCUCUCUUGAGAAUCGACAAAGAUCACAGUGUACAGUACUUUUGAAUGCAAGAAUUCAGCAGAUUUAAAAGAUACUUUGGCAAGGGAAACUUGAAAUCCCUGGAAACUUUGAAAGGAUGGAUGUUGUCUGAGAGCUGGCAUAAAAAGCUUUUGCUGGUUCUGUCAAUAGACUUCAGUGCUCUUCCACCACGUGAAGAAUUUGUUCCCCCUCUGAUGGAUUUUUCAAACCAUGUCUCCUCUUGUGUUUGUAAGAGAAGAUGACAGGGCAUAGGAGCAUCUCAGACGUCCCCGCGGUGCUCAGGAGUUGGGGGGCAGCAGAAGCAGUAGCAAGACUUGCUCCGUGGGAAAAGCUGUCUCAGAUUUCAGAGGAAGUUCAUGUAGAGUGGCACAAACACAAACGGUUCUUAUAGCAACUUUGGGAUUCAGAGUUCAGUCUGGGAAUUAUGCUUGAUUACCAUUUUUAAAUAUUAUCGUUCAUCCUUACAGCUUUUAUUCUUCUCUCUUCCUUCUUGUGCUGCCAUAAGUACACCAGAGUGUGCCUGGACAAGAGUGUUGUUAAAGAAUAGUGAGCACCUGGCAGGAUCCUGCCUAAGGAGUGUAAUGGGAUGGCUGAAACUUUGGAAAAUAAAUUAAACCUGGUCUUUCCCAAAGGGAAGUUAGAAAGUCCUGUAGUGGUAGUUAAAAUGAGAAAGACAAAAGUAGCAACAACAAAAGAGGACAGAUGAGAUCCAGAAAAGUAGGUUUCGUUACUGAGAGUGAAAGUUUUUACUGUUGAAUCAGCUAGAGGUAGGAAAAAAAAAUGAAAUCCAAACCCCAAAUUUGACCUUGUAAGGGGAACUCUAUGUUGUGGAAGACAAGCCUUAAACUGCAGAGAAGCAACAUGGGAGAGGUCAUCCGGAAUCCCUAGCAGGCACUUCUGCACUUGAGCUUUUUCUAUCACCACUGAUGGGGAAACUGAAGUAGGAGCAGCAUGUAGGCAUUCUGGGUUUUGGUGAUGCUUUGGUUCUUGUGCUGUCUGAAGUGAGGUGUAACUGCUGUCAGAAAAACUUCUGUAAUGUCUCACUUAUUUUCAUCAAAUGAGGGGCAGGGGAGGGUGGCAGAAGGGAGAAGUGUAUUGGGAAGAGAAGCUCUGUUUUAGAAAAUCAGUAAAUCAGUGAAAUCAGUAAAUCGGUGUCAUGGCUUGCUGGAAAUUGGUCAUCCUGUGGGCAUCCCAGCCAGUCCUUAUUGGAGUAAUAUUAUAGACAGUCACGAAAAAGAUGGUGAUUAAAGCUUGACCAGACAAAGGGAAGCUUGAAGUUGCACGUGUCCAAAGGUAACAAUGCAAUUUGUGUUCCUCGGAGGAGUUUUACUGGGUAAAUGCAUUAUUAGGUUGGCCUCCUUCUGAAGAUAGAGAGUUUGGAGCUGCUUGCAAAUGGAAGUACCCCAUCUAGCUCUCACAGGACUUUGGGA